UGGUGGAGGGGAACUAGAUGGUUGUGGUGGUGUAGCUUGGUAUGGAGGUGGACUAGGUUGACUAUAGGUGGGAGGUGCAGUGGGUGCACUUGGUGGUGGUGGAGGCAAAUUGUUGGUUGGAGGACUAGAUUGUGGUGGCAUGGGAGAUUUGUAUGGAGGCAUGGUAGGAGGGAUAGAGGGUGAGAGCGGUGGCUGGUUAUUUGGCGGAGGUGUGGUUGGGGUACUUGAAGGUGGUGGAGGGGAACUAGAUGGUUGUGGUGGUGUAGCUUGGUAUGGAGGUGGACUAGGUUGAGUGUAGGUUGGAGGUGCAGUGGGUGCACUUGGUGAUGGUGGAGGCAAAUUGUUGGUUGGAGGACUAGAUAGUGGUGGCACGGGAGAUUUGUACGGAGGCAUGGUAGGAGGGAUAGAGGGCGAGAGUGGUGGCUGGUUAUUUGGUGGAGGUGUGGUUGGGGUACUUGAAGGUGGUGGCAGGGAACUAGAUGGUUGUGGUGGUGUAGCUUGAUGUGGAGGUGGACUAGAAUGCAAUGGAGGUGGUUGACUAUAGGUUGGAGGUGCAAUGGGUGGACUCGACGGUGGUGGUGGCAAAUUGUUGGUUGGAGGACUAGAUUGUGGUGGCAUGGUAGGAGGGCUAGAGGGCGACGGGGUUGGUUGGUGAUUUGGUGGAUAUGUUGGAGGUGUGGUUGGGGUACUUGAAGGUGGUGGAGGGGAACUAGAUUGUUGUGGUGGUGUGGCUUGGUGUGGAG
Molecule: long non-coding RNA, 743 nt
Filed under: Sorghum bicolor (sorghum)
Lineage: Eukaryota; Viridiplantae; Streptophyta; Magnoliopsida; Poales; Poaceae
Description: long non-coding RNA (SBIC_LNC006272)
Source: RNAcentral